GAGAAAUCUUUUACAGAAUGGGGCUUUCUGACAAGUAUAUUGUCGCACUUUCAGGAGGCCACACUCUGGUAUAUUUAUCACCAUUUGAUGGGACAUGAAGUCGAGAUGCAGGUGGUUUGAAAUACUUUGCCUCGUCGAUUUGGCGCUCCAGGUCUUCCAGAGUUGAAUGCAUCUCAGCUACAAUAAUCGGGCAAUUAUGGAGGCUGCUCAAGUACUGCUUUAUUUCGGAGUUGAACAAAUCAUCUAUGUUUCUGAAAUGACGCACUGCUAAAUAAAGGUCUAUUCUCCGAAGACUGCGCCUUAUGCUAGUGAGGGAAAUGAUGUGGUUCGUGAGCAAUGGGCUAAGUUUUAUACCA
This is a long non-coding RNA of Spinacia oleracea (spinach), 356 nucleotides long. RefSeq lists it as uncharacterized. The record is from RefSeq and is a predicted model, not a curated record. The transcript has 4 exons. Lineage: Eukaryota; Viridiplantae; Streptophyta; Magnoliopsida; Caryophyllales; Amaranthaceae.